Molecule: ribosomal RNA, 492 nt
Filed under: uncultured bacterium
Lineage: Bacteria
Description: partial 16S ribosomal RNA
Rfam family: Bacterial small subunit ribosomal RNA
Source: RNAcentral
AGUGAACGCUGGCGGUAGGCCUAACACAUGCAAGUCGAACGGCAGCACAGUAAGAGCUUGCUCUUACGGGUGGCGAGUGGCGGACGGGUGAGGAAUACAUCGGACUCUACUUUUUCGUGGGGGAUAACGUCGGGAAACUUACGCUAAUACCGCAUACGACCUACGGGUGAAAGCAGGGGAUAUUCGGACCUUGCGCGAUUGAAUGAGCCGAUGUCGGAUUAGCUAGUUGGCGGGGUAAAGGCCCACCAAGGCGACGAUCCGUAGCUGGUCUGAGAGGAUGAUCAGCCACACUGGAACUGAGACACGGUCCAGACUCCUACGGGAGGCAGCAGUGGGGAAUAUUGGACAAUGGGCGCAAGCCUGAUCCAGCCAUACCGCGUGGGUGAAGAAGGCCUUCGGGUUGUAAAGCCCUUUUGUUGGGAAAGAAAAGCAGCAGGUUAAUACCCCGCUGUUCUGACGGUACCCAAAGAAUAAGCACCGGCUAACUUCGUG